UGCUUAGCACAGUGCCUGGAACAAGUAUUUAUUAUUGCUCCAUUAUAUUUAUAUGUUUAUUUUCAUGUAUAUUUUAUAUAUGUAUAUAUAUUUGUAUUUAUUAAUAAAUUAACAAUUGUUUAUAUUUAUGCAUAUUUUCUAUAUUUAUAUAUAUUUUGUGAUCCAGCAGCAGCAAGGCUCCUCAGAAGCAGAAAAUACUGGUUUGUGCCACCACGCCUAUGGAAGUUUCGUGGAAUAUUUUGUCAUGCCUCUACUGGAAUCUUCAGAGGAAGAAGAGGUCAUUUCCAGUUGUGUUUGAUUCUUCGUGACUCUGUUUUUGGCAAAGAUACUGGAGUUAUUUGGUACAUCCUUCUUCAGCUCAUUUUCCAGAUGAAGAAACUGAGGCAAACAGUGACUUGCCCAAGGUCACACAACUAUGACCACUAUUACUCAGAGAGAGAAGCUGUAUUUCCAGUGAGAAUUGGACUGACCUCUAAGAUCUCUUUCAAUUAAAAGAUUCCGUGAUUCUAUGAUGUACAUUAUAAAAAUGUAAAGAUGUUGUUAUCAUUAAUAAAGCAAAUUAUUUUAUGACA
Molecule: long non-coding RNA, 572 nt
Filed under: Monodelphis domestica (gray short-tailed opossum)
Lineage: Eukaryota; Metazoa; Chordata; Mammalia; Didelphimorphia; Didelphidae
Description: lncRNA (ENSMODG00000047080.1)
Source: RNAcentral